RNAcentral lists this ribosomal RNA (234 nucleotides) under Triticum aestivum (bread wheat). RNAcentral describes it as "partial small subunit ribosomal RNA". The record is from RNAcentral. Lineage: Eukaryota; Viridiplantae; Streptophyta; Magnoliopsida; Poales; Poaceae.
AUGUGUGUUCCAAAAGAUCAAGGAGGUAUAAGUUUCCAGGAUUUACACUGUUUCAACCUUGCACUUUUGGCUAAACAAGCGUGGCGUCUUCUUGACAAUCAUGAUUCUUUAUGUCCCACUAUCUUGAGAGUUAAGUAUUUUUCCUGAUGGCGUGAUGAUGAAUGCAACGUUAAAAAAGGGUCCUCUGUUACAUGGCAAAGCAUUACAGCACUGAAAAAUGGCUAUAUGCGAUGA